CGCUUUUAUCAGUUUCUAGAAAGUCCUUAAUGUAAUAUACUACUUGGCUCAGACUCUCUCUUUUCUGGGUGAAAUGUUGUUUCACAUUCAUUGGAUUCUUAGAUUUUGCUGGCAUUUGUUUUUGUUCCUUCUUUUUUCUUUUAAUCUCAUUAUCAACUUUUUGGUCAUCUGUAUUAGUACUCUAAAUCAUUAAAUUCUGCUAGUAUGAG
RNAcentral lists this unclassified non-coding RNA (209 nucleotides) under Hevea brasiliensis (rubber tree). The record is from RNAcentral. Lineage: Eukaryota; Viridiplantae; Streptophyta; Magnoliopsida; Malpighiales; Euphorbiaceae.